UAAAUUCAGAGUUUUUCGAUACCAAAAUUAUAUAUAUUACACAUUAAUUAAUCAAUCUCAUAAAUCAUCUAUAAUUUAUACAUGUCUUUCUUUCUUCAUACCAUUACUAGAACCGAAUUUCUAAUCAAACUCACAUAUAUAUACACUUAAUAGUUCCAAAUUAACUAAUUAAUAAAUUAUAUUAACCUCCAAGCAUGAUUCAAUGAUACUACUAAUGGCUCUAAAACUAUUCACUUGUCUAAGCCUUAAUCUAUAACUUCUCCUAACAAUAUUUAUCCAAGUUCCUAAAUUAGCUUACAUCAAUAUUAUACCGAUUGCUUCUUAACAAAAUUAUAUUUGUUUGAUUA
Molecule: long non-coding RNA, 347 nt
Filed under: Jatropha curcas
Lineage: Eukaryota; Viridiplantae; Streptophyta; Magnoliopsida; Malpighiales; Euphorbiaceae
Description: long non-coding RNA (JCUR_LNC002113)
Source: RNAcentral